This 72-nucleotide transfer RNA is filed under the name Terriglobus roseus. It matches the Rfam family "tRNA". From Rfam's summary of the family: Transfer RNA (tRNA) molecules are approximately 80 nucleotides in length. Their secondary structure includes four short double-helical elements and three loops (D, anti-codon, and T loops). Further hydrogen bonds mediate the characteristic L-shaped molecular structure. tRNAs have two regions of fundamental functional importance: the anti-codon, which is responsible for specific mRNA codon recognition, and the 3' end, to which the tRNAs corresponding amino acid is attached (by aminoacyl-tRNA synthetases). tRNAs cope with the degeneracy of the genetic code in two manners: having more than one tRNA (with a specific anti-codon) for a particular amino acid; and 'wobble' base-pairing, i.e. permitting non-standard base-pairing at the 3rd anti-codon position. Lineage: Bacteria; Pseudomonadati; Acidobacteriota; Terriglobia; Terriglobales; Acidobacteriaceae. The record is from Rfam by way of RNAcentral.
GCUGAUGUAGCUCAGUGGCAGAGCACUCCCUUGGUAAGGGAGAGGUCGAGGGUUCAAUCCCCUCCAUCAGCU